Molecule: ribosomal RNA, 791 nt
Filed under: uncultured Pedobacter sp.
Lineage: Bacteria; Pseudomonadati; Bacteroidota; Sphingobacteriia; Sphingobacteriales; Sphingobacteriaceae
Description: bacterial SSU rRNA
Rfam family: Bacterial small subunit ribosomal RNA
Source: RNAcentral
AGAGUUUGAUCCUGGCUCAGGAUGAACGCUAGCGGCAGGCCUAAUACAUGCAAGUUGAACGAGAUUAGAGAGCUUGCUCUCUAUGAAAGUGGCGCACGGGUGCGUAACGCGUAUGCAAUCUACCUUAAUCAGGGGGAUAGCCCGGAGAAAUCCGGAUUAAUACCGCAUAACAUUAUUGAAUGGCAUCAUUUAAUAAUCAAACAUUUAUGGGAUUAAGAUGAGCAUGCGUGACAUUAGUUAGUUGGUGAGGUAACGGCUCACCAAGACUACGAUGUCUAGGGGAUCUGAGAGGAUGACCCCCCACACUGGUACUGAGACACGGACCAGACUCCUACGGGAGGCAGCAGUAAGGAAUAUUGGUCAAUGGGCGCAAGCCUGAACCAGCCAUGCCGCGUGCAGGAAGACGGCCCUACGGGUUGUAAACUGCUUUUAUUCGGGAAUAAACCUUUCUACGUGUAGAGAGCUGAAUGUACCGAAGGAAUAAGGAUCGGCUAACUCCGUGCCAGCAGCCGCGGUAAUACGGAGGAUCCAAGCGUUAUCCGGAUUUAUUGGGUUUAAAGGGUGCGUAGGCGGCUUAUUAAGUCAGGGGUGAAAGACGGUGGCUCAACCAUCGCAGUGCCUUUGAUACUGAUGAGCUUGAAUACACUUGAGGUAGGCGGAAUGUGACAAGUAGCGGUGAAAUGCAUAGAUAUGUCACAGAACACCAAUUGCGAAGGCAGCUUACUAAGGUGUUAUUGACGCUGAGGCACGAAAGCGUGGGGAUCAAACAGGAUUAGAUACCCCCGUAGUCC